RNAcentral lists this ribosomal RNA (492 nucleotides) under uncultured bacterium. Its description in RNAcentral is "partial 16S ribosomal RNA". It matches the Rfam family "Bacterial small subunit ribosomal RNA", at positions 29 to 507 of the family's 1533-position model. The record is from RNAcentral.
AGUGAACGCUGGCGGUAGGCCUAACACAUGCAAGUCGAACGGCAGCACAGUAAGAGCUUGCUCUUACGGGUGGCGAGUGGCGGACGGGUGAGGAAUACAUCGGAAUCUACUUUUUCGUGGGGGAUAACGUAGGGAAACUUACGCUAAUACCGCAUACGACCUACGGGUGAAAGCAGGGGAUCUACGGACCUUGCGCGAUUGAAUGAGCCGAUGUCGGAUUAGCUAGUUGGCGGGGUAAAGGCCCACCAAGGCGACGAUCCGUAGCUGGUCUGAGAGGAUGAUCAGCCACACUGGAACUGAGACACGGUCCAGACUCCUACGGGAGGCAGCAGUGGGGAAUAUUGGACAAUGGGCGCAAGCCUGAUCCAGCUAUACCGCGUGGGUGAAGAAGGCCUUCGGGUUGUAAAGCCCUUUUGUUGGGAAAGAAAAGCAGCAGGUUAAUACCCCGCUGUUCUGACGGUACCCAAAGAAUAAGCACCGGCUAACUUCGUG